RNAcentral lists this ribozyme (67 nucleotides) under unclassified sequences. RNAcentral describes it as "HDV ribozyme from F. prausnitzii". It matches the Rfam family "HDV ribozyme from F. prausnitzii". The record is from RNAcentral.
ACUGUUCAUAUGAGAAACCUCCACGAGGUGAACAGUGGGCAACGAAUUCUAUUCGGCUAAUUCUCUU